RNAcentral lists this long non-coding RNA (29746 nucleotides) under Hordeum vulgare. RNAcentral describes it as "long non-coding RNA (HVUL_LNC021476)". The record is from RNAcentral. Lineage: Eukaryota; Viridiplantae; Streptophyta; Magnoliopsida; Poales; Poaceae.
UCAUACUUUACUUCAAUAACGGACAGUUUUACCACCACUCGCAACCAUAGACAUUUCGAGGUUUGUGAUGCCGCAAGGCUUGAGUCUAUAUAUACAUGCAGUUUUAAGAGUAGAAUAGAAGCAGAUGCUAGAGAAGGAUUGAAUUCCAAGAGUUUGCACCCCCUUUCCUUGUUGGAUGUGGAAAUGAUGCAAACAAUAUAUUCUACCUACACUCAAAUUCGCACAUUACUAUUUGAUUGACGCGACACCUUGAAGCUAGUUUGCAUAUGACAAAUAACAAAACAUAAUAGUGUGUCACAGGUAUAUUACACAUUGGCUCAUGAUUCCUGAGCGGAGGGGUGAGGAUCUUCUGGUCGGUUGCUCGAUCACAGGUCGCCGCCGCCUCACCUCGCGUCCCCCCGCCUUUUGCCAUUCCACGACUCAUAUCACUAGCUAGCUCAAUGGCGUCAGAUUCUUGCGGACACAAACAAAUACUAAUGGAUAGAUACAGAAUGCUCCAACACGGUGCCUGGUUUAUAGCCACUACGUCUCGCCUUCACUAGGAAGGGUGGUUUUAGCCACACAUGCCUUUUCCACCUAGGAAGGGUGCCUCUAGGAUCACUCCAUGCGAUGCCUUCGCCCGAGCAGUCCCCAUGGAAUGAAAUUGGUAGUUCUUGGCUUGUUGCAUCAUUUGGUUAGCACAUAUGUUGGUUUGCUAGGAAUUAAGGGUAUUUGAUUAGCUUACUCUCAACCUUUGUGAAUUGUGAUGGACCUUUAUGCGGGUAUUUUGAUUUGAAUGAUUUCUGCAGGGAUUUUGUUGAGUUAGAAUAUCUAGUAUUCCCCGGGUCCAUAAUCUACUAUAGUUUGGAUAUUGCCACAAUCUCCAUUAUGUAUCGUUAACCUUUAUCUUGAAAAAAGCAUGGAAUUUAUAUUAUAAAUAAAAGGGAAAUUCAAUUUUUCAUAUAUCUGUACCCAAAAUUAGAAAAUGUUGAAUACAAGCCUUUCUAGGAAGUCAUGCGUUUAUGAAAACUAUAUUUUGUGUGUAAGAUUUUGAUUGUAGGGUUGUCAAUUUUAUCCAAAGAACCCAUUGUACCAUGCCCCAUAAAAGUUUCCCAUUAACUUAUACCUCUUAGGGGGGGAUUCUUAUUUGGUGCACUCAAAAUACCUAAGUACAAAGUACAUCCGGCCAAGCUAGAGUGUGGACGAUGAAUAGUCUUCGAACCAACAGAGGAACCAAAUAAUGAACAAUUUGCCAACAAUGAUAGAAACUCAAGUCUAUAACAUUAUUUGCCUUGGUGACUUCAGGGUAAAAUUGGAAAAGCAUGUGAAUAAGUCCCACAUCUUCUCAAGUAAAAAAAAUGCCCCACACCUCCGUACUUGCAAUAUUUAAGUGCAAACAUUAUUAUGUUAUGUUUCCUACUAAUGUGAGAACGCGCAAGGGAUGAAUGUGGUGAUUGAAACGGGGAUGAGGAAAAGAGCAACGAAAAUUGAAGCGGGAUUGACAAAUCAUAUUGGCGACUUAGAGGACGGUUAUAAUUUCAAUAUAAUAUAACGUAAUUUGUACUACCGCUUUGAGUUCCCGCGGUUGCAGUUCUCAAGAUGAUAACAACACUGAAAGGACGUGGAUGUCGCCUAGAGGGGGGUGAAUAGGCGCUUUAAAAUAAUUAAGGUUUAGGCUUGAACAAAUGCGGAAUAAAACUAACGUUUAAUAUGUCAAGCACAAAACCUACAAACAACUAGGCUCACCUAUGUGCACCAACAACUUAUGGUAAGCAAGAUAAACAACUAAGUGAUAGCAAGAUAUAUUACAAUAAAUAAUAUGUCUAUCACAAAGUAAAGUGCAUAAGUAAAGGGUUCAGGUAAGAGAUAACCAAGGCACGGGGAGAUGAUGGUGUAUCCCGAAGUUCACACCCUUGCGGAUGCUAAUCUUCGUUAGAGCGGUGUGGAGGCACAAUGCUCCCCAAGAUGCCACUAAGGCCACCGUAAUCUCCUCACGCCCUCGCACAAUGCAAGAUGCCGUGAUUCCACUAAGGGACCCUUGAGGGCGGUCACUGAACUCGUACAAAUGGCAAACCUUGGGGGCGGUCACCGAACCCGUACACGUGGCAACCCUUGGGGCGGUUACCGAUACCCGUACAAAUUGCUCGGGGCUAUCUCCACAACCUAAUUGGAGGCCCCGACGCUUGCCCGGAGCUUCACACCACAAUGAUUGAGCUCCGAGUCACCACCAAGCUUCUAGGAUGCCAAAGUAUCCACGAAGAACAAUAUGUAGGGUACUAAGUACCAAAGGUAGUAAGCUUCUCAACUUCUCACUUCCACGUAUCACCGUGGAGAACUCAAACCGAUGCAACUAAUGCAAUGGCAAGAACACACGAAGUGGUCAAGUCCCUCAAACUCAAAUCCCUCCACAACAACAAAAGCUAUGGAGAAAUAUGAGAGAAAGAACAAGGAGCUCACAAAGAACUCCAAGAUCUAGAUCCAAGGGGUUCCCCUCACAUAGAGGAGAAAGUGAUUGGUGGAGAUGUGGAUCUAGAUCUCCUCUCUCUUUUCCCUCAAGAACAAGCAAGAAUCAUUGGAGGGAUUAAGAGUUAGCAAGCUCUAAGAAUGUCAACAAUGGAGGUAGAACAAGAGCUCAACAGAUGGAUAAAACCAAGGGGAAGAAGACCCCCUUUAUAUAGUGGGGGAAGGAAUCAGACCGUUAGCCCCACUUUCUGCCCGAGCUCCAGCGGUACUACCGCUGGCAGCAGCGGUACUACCGCUGGCACUCUAGCAGUACUACCACUGGCCCCAGCGGUACUACCGCUGGGCCCCUGGUAGUGCAACGGCACUACCACCGCCAAGAAAGUCUUCGCAAAAAGGUCCGUCCACGAACGACCACUAGGCAGGCGGUACUAAGCUCCUGGAGCGGUACUACCGCUGACCAGGGGCGGUACUACCGCCAGCCAGCGGUACUACCGCUAGGGCCAGCGGUACUACCCCUAGGUCCAGCAGUACUACCGCUCGCCACUGAAACAGCCAUAACUUUAGCAUACGAGCUCCGAAUCGAGCAAACCCAAGCUUGUUGGAUUCAGGACGAUAAGGGCUAUCCAAACAGCGAGAAUUUAAAGCUAUAUAUCUCUGAAUAUUACAAGAAAUUAUUUGGUGCACCAGAGGAGACUUGGGUCUCUUUGGAUGAAAGCACAACUCAUGAGAUACCUCAACUCAAUUCAGAUGAGAAUGAGGUGCUAUCAGCCCCAUUUACCGAGCAGGAGGUGUAUGACUCAAUAGUACAAAUGAAACAAAAUAAAGCUCCGGGGCCAGACAGGUUUCCGGUGGAAUUUUAUAAAAAAUUACGGCAUGUCAUUAAAGGGGAUUUAUUGCCUAUGUUCCAAGAUUUAUUUAAUGGCCAUUUAUAGAUAUUCCACCUUAACUUUGGAACAAUUACGUUGUUGCCCAAGAAGGCGGAGGUUGUAUGCAUCGACAGUUCAGACCGAUAUGUUUGCUCAAUGUCAGCUUCAGAUUUUUACAAAGGUUGGCACGAAUAGGUUAACGAAGAUAGCUCAUUGAGUAUUCCAACCAACGCGGACGACGUUUAUGCCUAAGAGACACAUCUUAGAUGGUGUUGUUGUCCUGCAUGAAACGCUGCACGAAAUUCAUACAAAGAAACUAGAUGGGUUUUUCUUUAAAUUGGAUUUCGAGAAAGCAUAUGAUAAAGUCAAAUGGCCAUUUCUUCAACAUGCCUUACGUGUUGGGGAACGUCGCAUGGGAAACAAAUCUUAAGACCCUGCGGUUAUGAAUAUGCCAAUGAUAUAAAGAUGUGAGUCCUCUAAGAAUGAAGAACCGGCAAAAACUCCAACAUCGAAAACAUCAUAGUAGUUGCAUAUGGACUCCGUUUUCGAUGAACUCGAGCUUGUCAUGAAGAUGACCAUAAGCUCUAAAACUCACAAAGAGAAACACCAAAUAAGAACCAAGAAGUAUGAUGCAAGGAUGCAAAUGGUUUGAGCUCUCAACGAACGAUACGAUCAAGCUACUCACUUGAGAGCCCCCCUUGAUAGUACACGCUAGUUUCAGUACAGGCUUUACAAAGAUCAAUCUCAGACCACACACCACUCAUAGUUGACUCACGGGAUGCCAACUAUGCGGGAAAUAUAAUUUUUUUUCUCUUUUGAGCUAAGUUGGUUUGGGAGAGAAGGAUUCAUGGAUCUCAUAGCUAACGAAUGGGCUAGGGAUUCGGGUGGAUCUACGAAUAUAGAAAGAUGGCAAAACAAAAUCUGAAACAUGUGCCAGUUCUUAAGAGGAUGGGCGAAAAAUGAGAGUGUCAUAUAUAAAAAGUAAAAAAGAAAGACUCAUUCAUCUGAUUGAUGAAUUAGAUGUGAAAGUUGAGUCUGCUUAGCUGAAUCUGACUGAUAGGAAUAACAAGAUUGAAGCUGAGAAGAAUUUGCAAAAAAUAUUGAGAGAAGAGGAGAUGAAAUGGGCACUUCGUGCUAAGGUGCCAAAGGUGGUUCAUUGGGACGAUAACACAAAAUUCUUUCACAUGAUUACUAAUGGCAAACAUCGAAAGAAAAAAUAACCCAACUUGAGCAAGAUGAAGGAACAAUAGUAGGUCACGAGAAUUUAAAGCUAUAUAUCUCUGAAUAUUACAAGAAAUUAUUUGGUGCACCAGAGGAGACUUGGGUCUCUUUGGAUGAAAGCACAACUCAUGAGAUACCUCAACUCAAUUCAGAUGAGAAUGAGGUGCUAUCAGCCCCAUUUACCGAGCAGGAGGUGUAUGACUCAAUAGUACAAAUGAAACAAAAUAAAGCUCCGGGGCCAGACAGGUUUCCGGUGGAAUUUUAUAAAAAAUUACGGCAUGUCAUUAAAGGGGAUUUAUUGCCUAUGUUCCAAGAUUUAUUUAAUGGCCAUUUAUAGAUAUUCCACCUUAACUUUGGAACAAUUACGUUGUUGCCCAAGAAGGCGGAGGUUGUAUGCAUCGACAGUUCAGACCGAUAUGUUUGCUCAAUGUCAGCUUCAAAUUUUUACAAAGGUUGGCACGAAUAGGUUAACGAAGAUAGCUCAUUGAGUAUUCCAACCAACGCGGACGACGUUUAUGCCUAAGAGACACAUCUUAGAUGGUGUUGUUGUCCUGCAUGAAACGCUGCACGAAAUUCAUACAAAGAAACUAGAUGGGGUUAUCUUUAAAUUGGAUUUCGAGAAAGCAUAUGAUAAAGUCAAAUGGCCAUUUCUUCAACAUGCCUUACGUGUUGGGGAACGUCGCAUGGGAAACAAAUCUUAAGACCCUGCGGUUAUGAAUAUGCCAAUGACAUAAAGAUGUGAGUCCUCUAAGAAUGAAGAACCGGCAAAAACUCCAAUAUCGAAAACAUCAUAGCGGAAAUUGUUUGAAUCUUAUUUCACCCACAAGGGAAAAACUUUGCUAGUAACAGUUCUUCCAAUUAAAUUUUCCCGUUGGUUCCAAUUUAAUUGGAGGACUAAACCUUUUUACUUUGCACCGGAAAAACGUGAAUAUAAAAAUUAAUGUACCUUUACAGAAAAAUUAUUCUGUGAAAAAUAAAAAAUCCAUGAACUUUAUUUUCCUUUUGUAAAAUCCAUGAAAUUUUCUCUUUCUGAAAAUAUUUCUUUUAUUUUCGGAACCUUUUAUUUUUCUUUGCAGAAAAAACAUGUUACUAUUACACAAAAAUAUUCUGUCAUAAUCAAAAAUUCAUGAACUUUAUAAUCCUUUUUUAAAAAAUCCAUGAACUUUUCUUUUUCUGAACAUCUUCUUUUAUUUUCAGAACCUUUUAUUUUUCUUGUCAGAAAAAUAAUAUUACAAUUCUAUCUACAUUUACAGAAACUUUGAACAUUUUUCUUUUCCUUUUUUAAACAUAUUUUCCUAGGAAAAAAUGCCUAGAAAAAACUUUUGACUCUGCCAAAAACUUGACAGAAAACAAAAUUGUCAUUUAAAAAGAAAAGGCCAGCAUGGGCCGGCCUGGGUGCCGCCAGCCUGCAUUGCCCCUUCUCGGUCAGGCGCGCCGCAGCUCUUGUGCAGCCCUAGGUGGCCUCAGCCUGGCGCGACGGAUUCGGCCCAAAAGACCCGUGGUGGCCUGCAGCCUCUUUUAGCUAGGGUUUCAGCCUCGGCCGUCGGAUGAGAUCCGACGGUCAGGCGUGGCUUCGGUAAAACAAAAAGGGCUAGAGCCCAUCCCCUGCCGAAACCCUAACGCCAUUUGCCCCCUCAGCCGCUCGUUCUUUCCUUGUUGCUCUCGUCUGGCGAGACAAUCCCGUGGGUGGCCGAGCCCCUCUUGUUCCUCGCGCCGGUCGCUGCCAUGCCCCGUCGAAGAGGAGGCCGCCGGCCAUCACGCCGCGCCUCUCUUUCCCUCUCCUUGCCCUCGCACGGUGGCAUGUAUGCCCCGCCGAGGAGGUCUCUGGUGCCCCGCCAGACCUCUCGAGGGAGUGGUGGUGCCUGCUGGCCACUUCUUGCGCGGAGGCCACCAUGCCCCGCCGAGAUCUGGCUUCUUGUCGUGGUGGUUGCGAGGUGGCAGCCGGCCGCCGGCCGCGGCGACCAUGGGUCCCGUGCCGUGCGUGCCAUGCUGCCUUCCUUAUCUCUCCCCUGGAGCCAUGACCUUCCCCUCGCCGGCUGCGCAUCCGCCUUGCGUUGGGUGCGCCGCCGUCGAGCGGUCGGCUGUGGUUCCUUCUUCUUCCUUUAUUUACUGUGAUGGAGAGAGAGAUCCAGCGGACCUUUACUUUUCGGUUCAUGGCAGCUCCGUUGCCAUCCCCCUCGCCAGCUGCACGUCCCCCUUGCGGUGAGCGUGCCGCCGUCGAGCGGUUUGGUGAUGAAGCUUUUUGCCCCUAUGGGGUGAUAUUUCGUUUGCCCUUUCUUUGCAUGUUCCCCUCAUCCCGUUUCUUUUUGCCUUUUCGGAUCCGAUCCGAUUGCUUUCAUCAUUUUUUCUUUUGGAUCUAGAUCCAUUCUUUGCCCCCGAAGGAGUGUCUUCUUCUUCCCCACACCUCGGCUUGCCGAUGCGUAGGGGAUCGAGCGGAACGGGCGCGGCCUUGCGGCGGCGCUACUUUGGGGGGGGGGGGGGGGGGGCCAUCUUCGGUUUCUUUGCCCAUCUAGGGUUCAUAUCGGGGAGGGGAAACUUUUCUUGUACAUGUUUCAACCGAAACUCAUCUAAAGCCUCGUGGCUCUGAUACCAUUGAUAGAUCCCGUGGAUCGACAAGGCUAGAUGUGUUCGGUGUGAUGUGGAGAUUUGUUACCUUAUCCCGUACUCGAUGAGCCCCCUCCGGCUACCGUCGUGAGGUGGUGACGACGAUGGGGAAGGAGAGAGAUCCGGUAGUGGCGGUGAUGGACUUCCCAUCGCUUCAGUGCUACCUUCUGGAUCGGAUUAGGGUUAGGAGUGGGGAACCAGUGGCGGUGGCGAACCUCAUAACCCGUGCCAUGGUCCACACCUCCUCUACAUAUAGCACUGCGCGACAGGGGCCCACCAGCCUUGCUUGGGCUGGACGCCCCCGAUCAGGGCGUGAGUCAAGGUCCAAUGGGCCGUUGGGCCCAUUGGGAAAGAGAUCAAUCUAACAGGUACAUGUCAAUAGCUCAAGAAGCCAGGCAAACUGGGGUUGCUGCUUUUUGUGACUUGGGAGUGCGUAUACUAUGAAGAAGGGUUUUCCCCUAAAUAAAUACUAUAGAUCUUGUACGCCACGGGUGAUUUCUUUAUAUGAAAUCGGAGCCCGCCACCCACCUUUUGCUAAAAAAAGCAACCAUCACUUACAUUAAAGCAACUAACUAAUACAAACGCAAGCCCCACACACAACAAGGCAAGGUACAAAAAGCAACCAUCACUUACAUUCAAGCAACUAAUUAAUACAAACGGAUUCCCCACACACAACAAGGCAAGGUACAAGAAUGUCGGACACCGACACACAAACUCAACAACUAUCAAGACCUACAAGAUGUGUAAAAGAGAUCCCUUAGAGCCGACGAAGACCACCACCAAGAUGAGCUAUCGUCGAGGAAGAUGUGCGACAGACAAUGCCGGACCGAGGACUUCAAGACGAUGCCUCGAAGAAGGGCACGGCCAGAGAAAUAUCGCCACUUGCUGAUCCGAUCUAAAGAUCAACUUUUCACCCGGAGGUAGAUUGGAAGACCGGGAGCACCAUGACGGAGCCUGCAAAGAGGAACACGAGGUACGCGGAUGCCUUCACCAUCGACCAGUGCACAGACUGCGCAAGUGAUGUACCCCGGUGCUUUAACCCCUCCGUUGCAUCCCCGGUACGCCAACCACCUGUAAGCAUCAUGUCUGAGUGGUCAUGUUUGAUCUCCCGCAUCCAAGCCAAUCAAUCCGCCCACGACCAACACGACUCCCACCGUCAGGAUUGCAGUCGUGCCACCAGAUCACACCGAGAGCCACCAAAGGUCAUGACUUUGACCAUAUCCAUAACCCCCACCACCCUUGGAACUGUGGGCGGCCACCCUGCCUGGAGAGGAACCGCGACCACACAUCAACCGAGCGAACCGGUCCCUCCUACCAGCUCCCCCCGAAACCACCAUGCCUCGCCCUCCAAGUCAAAGGCCCGGACCAGCAAGAGAGCCCUGGACACCGUCCGAUGCCAAAGAGCAGGGAGUGCGGAACCGCCACCGUCGCAGCCAUCACAGGCCACUAGGGAGGCCCUCCUGUGCCGCAAGGGCCCGACUGGACAGGGCCACCCACCGCCACCGCUGCCAUGCCGUCUUCCCACCAGAUAUCCACGGCCGGAGAGGCCUCCCGCGACCUGAUCGUCCGUGACCCGCAGCGCCAGACGUGGCGUCGAGGCGCUGCCUCUAAGCAGCAACCGUCGUCAUCACCCACAAACCUACACCACCAUCAUACCGCCCAUCUCCUGAUGACAUGCCGCCUUCUUCGGCCCACUCUGGAGUGUCGCCCCGCCCGGCAUCGAGUGAUGUUUCCAAACACGUGAGAUCUGGCCCGCGUCGCACCCCUCACGCGAGGAGAAGAAUGGCCCCCGCAGCCUUCGGCGAUGACCGGGCUUCGCCCGCUCGCGCCCCAAGCGACGAUGAGGGAGAGGGAGAGGAGGACGGGGUGGAGGAGGUGGCGCUAGGGCUGCCUCUUGGACGCUCGCGGGGGCGUCUUUGGAGUAGGGGAUCAAAAUUAUAGCAAAAGAAGAAUUAGAGGGAAAGCACCUUAUGAAUGCGUGUGUGUGUAUAUACACAUCCUUUUACAAAGCAUGAUUCGACUGCAGACUCAUUUUAUUAAUUAAUGAUAUAAAUGAUGACUAUAGUAAUGUCGAUACUUAUCUAAAUCGUCGUAGAUGGUACCCACUUUGGGGAUUUAAUCAUACUGAUGAUCAAUGCAUGACAUAGGAUUGUUCUAAUGCUUUGCAUUUUUUGGGUUCUGCAUUGCAAUCGUAUGAUGAAUACAUUCAUAAAUGAUUGCAUGGAUUGGUCGAUAUGAUGACCUGGGUUGAUCCUCCUUUUUUCAAAAAUAUAUUGAAAUGAGCGUUUAUUGUCAAGAGAUAUAGAAGAUUUGAUGAGGUGCCAUUAUGCAUUCUAAUGAAUGCAAAUAUAAGAAAAUGUACUACUUGAAGCCCACACAGUGAGGUCUUUUUUUUACGAAAAGCUAUAGCUGAAGUGCUUCAUUGAAUUUAAGAAGAGGAGUUUUAGCGACUACACAUGGGAUACAAACAUGAAGUCCACAUGGUUUUACCACUAGAGACAGCAAUUGGCAUCUCAUCACCUCCGAACAUCCCAAACCAGGACUCCAGGAGCUGCCUGAGUGAGCUGGUAUGCUUGGAAGGGAUUGGAUUCUAAAGAAGUUCACGCCACCUUUUGCUUUUGGCCCAAAAAAUAGUCAGCAUAGACAACACAUAUUCUAGAGUAACAUUGUUAGAGUCUUGGGAUCGAAGGUCGUAGCCAUGGUCUGGAGGUGCCUGAGGGUCGAUGAAGGUCCUCCGGGGCAGGCGUCUUGCCGGUGUUGAGAGAUAACAGAGGAGGAGAAGGGGAAAAGACUAAACAUUAUUGGUUACUUAAGGACUCUCGUACAGACCAACUCUCCUUAUAUUAUGGAGAGUUCAACUUCUGUUUUCCUUCCUAAAGAAAACCUAUACUAGUAGGAAUUAAUAUAUCUCAAAUACUUAAUAGUGGAGUUGCAUUAUUUUGUUAAAACGAGCCCAUCACCGUGCAACCGUUCAAUAUACAUGUGACUAUGGGACGGCAUGGUAACUAGUGUGGAAGGAGGCAGCCUACAUGGCACCGGUUAACUCCAUGAAUGUGGCGAUGUCAUUCCACUUUAUUUCGUAUCAUUUUUUUCAAAACACUAUAAUUUUUAAACUGAGUGUCAGAAAGAAGAUCCGUUGUUACUGUUAGGCUUUUUUCGGUGAGCUCUUCAAAACUAAAUCCCAUAUGGAUAGGUUUCAGCAAACUUUUUUGACAACAUUGGGUGAUAUUGAGACAACUUUAAUGCUAAAGAAAAGCAACUCUCGUGUCAUGGUGUUCCAUCAAAGGACAUAAGUUACCUAUAAUGUCGAAAACAAAAUGUCGGAUAUCUACCAUGAUUUCAAAUUUUGAAACUAUAUGGGAUGGAUGGUAUGAGAAUAUUUUUAUCUUAUUUUCUAGGUUAGUAUGCCCGCCUAUGAUACUUAGCACGCAGGUGUUGACUAAUCAGGUCGCUGGUGUUGACUACUUGCAAAAGUCGAAACAGAUCACAAGAUGCAUAGGGGUAAAGAGACAAUUCAUAGGGGGAGGAUCAGGCACUUGCCCGCAAACCUAUACAAGUUGUCCAAUUUUUACAUGAUUUGCUCACAAAAAUUAUUGAAAUCUCUAGAUAUAAUGAUGAAAAAUACACAUGAGUUGCUUGUUGAAUGCAUUGAAGUUGCAGAAUAACACACAAAAAUUGCUAUGUUUUUUUGUGAUACUCGAGUGUAAUUAUGGCAACUAUUUACCAAUAACACGCAACUUGACAUCAACCGUAGGCAAUUUAUAGUAUCUAUAUGCAUCUGAGCAUCAAUCGUAGGCAACUGGCCAUCAAUAAUAGGCAAGUGAGCAUCAAAGUUGAGCAAUUUCAUAGUUUUUGUAAACAGUGGAGCAUUAAUUAUAGGCAAUAGAUCAACAUUAAUAGACAACUGGGCAUCAAUGUUUGGCAAUUUUAUAAUAUUUACAAGCAAUUGAGCAUCAACCGCACGUAACUAAUCAUCAAUUACACGCAAUUGAACAACAACAAUAUAAAAGUUGAGAUAAUGUUGGCAAGAUUCACACAUAAACAUAACGAAUGAAGUUACUUGUAUAUAGCACUAAAAUGUGCCUCAUGUUUUCUUUGAUUUCCUCAUUUUUACGAAAAUCAACCAAAUAGGAAUGCCUACUAGGACAAGAAGGAAAAAAGUUGAUUUCCUUAACACUAAAGUUGUCUCAGUAUAAUCUAAAGUUGCCAAAAAAAAGCCGGCGGGAUCUAGUUUUGAAGAGGUUGUCACGAGAAACCCAGGUUUGAAAACGGAUCUCAAUCCUGACGCUCGGUUCAAAGGAUGUAUCUUUUUGAAAAAGAAAUAAAGUCAUUAAUUGUACUAGAAGAGGGAAUCAGGUCGCACUGGAUUCCAUUUUGGGAUGUCCUAAUCGCAUGUGGGUUUGUUGGUUCUUUUUUUGGAGAGCGCUCACUUCUGCAAACUCGCGCUGAUGCGCCAGCAGAUCGGGUCUUUGAUAUAAUUCCAUCAGGGAACAAUCCUGCAUGGAAGUAAUAACUAGGACUACUGCCCCUACUUGGUCGUAGUUUAUCCUUCUACACACUCGGGGUUUAGAGCAUCUACAACCACGACUUGCAAAUCCCCUCAAACGUCCGCGGAAGCGUCCGGUUAGUGACCGGGCGUGUCUUCUAUUUGUCCGUCUGCGCAGCCACAUUCCUCAUUUUCUUCCUCAUAUGUCCGGUCACUUGCAUGUGAUUGAUGGAGAGGAAGAGAGAGAAAGAAAAGAAUGAAUAAAUAAAAUAAAAAGGUGGUUGGGGCGGGGUUGCGUCCUCUGUAGCGGACUGACCGCCCGGGCGCGUCCGCGAGCACUCAUAUCCUAUCCAUAUUUGAGAUAGAUAUGAGGGUUCGUGGACAGCCCGGACAUAUAGGGACGAUAUGUGGGGUCUGGUUGGGUCAAUUGUUUUCUUUUCUCUCAUGUGUGAUCACUUACCGGGCGCGUCCGAAGACAUAUGAAGGACUAUUUGAAAAAUUCGGUUGUAGAUGCUCUUACGGCUGCUAUAAUAGAUACCCCACGUAACAUAUCUCCCCUCCUCAUCCGAUGACACGUUUACGGUCCUUGAAAUCCUCCAAAGGCUCCCAGGUAGCCUCUUCCUCUGAUGUACAUGCCCACUGAAUAAGAACAUGGUGCACUCCACGUUGAAGACUGAUCUUCAAUGCUUUAUGGGGUUGAAGAACCACCUUACCAUUUUAUAUAACAGGCAGAGGGGGAGCAGCAGCAGGUGGUGUCCCAUGGAAUUUCUUCAACCAGCUAACAUGGAAGGCAUCAUUAAUCCGAGCUCCAUCCAGAAGGUCCAAUAUUUAUGCCACAAAUCUAAUGUAUUCAAGGACUUUGUUCGGUCCAUAGAACCUAGCGGCAAGCUUGCCAUAAUUGUGUCCUAGAACAGAUGUUGUUGGUCAUCGCUGUAGGCAUCAUGAUGACAUCGAUGGCGAAGAGGCCUAGAGAGGUCGGUGCAUUAGUUUCUGUUUUAAAGAUGGAUUGGUGAAGGACGACAGCGACGACACAAGAAAGUGCGUCGGACCGGUUUGUAUCCAAUAUGUGUCUUUGUUGAGGCCUUCGACUUUACAUGUUAGAUUUUUGUGUGAUGUCUAUUUGAUAUUAGGUUUGGACUAUCGACAUCCCUUCAUCAAAUGGAUAGGAGUAGCGACAUAUGUUUUUAAGAUGAUGGCUUCAAACUACAUGAUGUACUAUUUUGUAAUGUAUUUAUGAAUAAUUAAUCAAGUGACUACAUGCAUCGCCUAGAUGCACAUGCCGAGGAUAAUCCUCCUUUUCAAAAAGUACAUGUUUUUAGUUUUUUCCAAUUAUACCACACAGCUUAGAAGUAUAUACCAACAAAAAAUUUCAUGUAAGCUUCUUCUCCGUGUGUAACACAAAUAUGCUUCUUAUUUCAAGAAUGUCUACAUGGUGAAAAAAAUAUUAUUAUCUUUGGUUUUAGAAAGAGAACAACAACAAAACUUGAAGUUCUACGCAAAUCAUCCAAUCUUGAAGGCCAACAACAACAAGAGGCCAAGAACGGGGUAAGCAAAGGAUUCUAUGAUGAAGAGAACGACCACACAACAUGAUAGUCAGAAGCAAAACAUCUAAGCAUGACAACCAAGAGAAAAUCAUCCAAAGUGUUGACAAACAACAAGCUAUUCUAUCUAAGUUCCGCUUCGGUACAACCCUCUUAUAAAACGUAUAGAGAGCAAUAUGGACUUUUUGCCAUGUUGUAUCCACUUUUGUAUGUAUAAUGGAUCACUGGUCCAUACGUAUACGAGACAUAUUGUACUGGGUCGGGCCAUUAAGUCACUGAUGACGAAUUGAUGGAUAUACUUCCCGCCCCUCGUUGGUUACCCCAAGUGAAAGGUGGAGAUGUAGUCAGCAAUAGAUUUCCCUUACACGGAGGCUGUAAGGUUUAUCGAAUCAAGAGGACUUCUAGGCUCAACAAGUAGGUGUCUUCCACCCUGAAGCUAGAAGAAGACAUGGACCUACACUUACAACAAAUAACUUUGCUCCCAACGAGUACAGAGAGGUUGUCAAUCUCUCCGGCCUUGUAGUUUGCAAAGGACCAAAACACAAGCGGGAAGGUAAUAGUGAUUGCAAUGAAAAAUUAAAUGGUAGAGGUGUAAUCAACGAUGGUGAUAUGGACCGGAGUCACAUGAUAUUCACUAGUAAUGUCUCUCUCUCAAAAGACGAUAAACAACUAUGCUUGGGUAAACAAAUCACAGUUGGGCAAUUGACAGAAUUAUGACCGCACCGCAAUGCUAAUGAUGCUCCUUGAUAGUUACAGGUUCAAUAGUAAUGGGCAGUACGCCAAGAGUAGAUACUUACUAAUCAUCCACCUUGAGAUAUCUAUCUAGAACAUCUCUCCGGUAUUAAGUUGCGAGCCCCAUCCAAAGUGUAAACUCAAAGCAACGGAAAACUGCAUUAACAAACUAUGCGUAAGGUAAACAAUCCGUGCAACUGUGGUCACAAGCACCGUUGUUUUCUCCCUGGUAGCAACAAGCACAACCCCUAGUCUCAUGUUUCUGUCACUCAAGCUACACAUCGAGGGGCAUGAACCCACAAUCAUGCAUAAUGCUCCCUCUUGGAGUUACAAUCUACUACUUGGCAAAAGCAAUAAAUAGCAACAGAGAACAUGCAUGAAUCACUAAGGAACAUAAUAUAAAAGGAUAAUCAAAUAUAUAACUCAUAACACUCUGAACAUAAUCUCAUAAUCCAUCGGAUCCCAGCAAACCGAGCAUAGCAAUAGCAAGAGAAUCACAUAGAUGCCUUGAUCAUGUAGGACAGCUCACAAGGACUAACCAUUGAAGCACAAGAUUGGAGAGAAGACAUCACAUAGCUACUGGUCAUGGACUCAUGGUCCAAGGAGGACUACUCACGACACGACCGGGAAGCGUCCAUGGCGGUGGACAAGCUCCCAGAGGUUAAUCCUCCCUUCGGCAAGGUGCCGGGAAGAGGUCUCCUGAUGCUCCCGAUCUCGGAAGCGCUGCGGCGGCGUAACGAUGGAGAAAUUCGCGAUUGCAGAAAGUCCGCGAUGGUUUCCUCUCGAGACUCUAAAUAUAGGCGAAAGGAGGGCACCUGAGGAGGUGGGACCCACCCAGGCGACCUCCUGGCGCGGCCUAGGGCCUGGCCGCGCCAGCAAGCUGUCUGGGAGGCCCCUGGCCCAUCUUCGGUGAUCCGGAAGCUUCUGUUUUGCUGAUUUUUUGUAUGUUUUUUCUAGAAUUUUUCGGGCUUCAGAAAAUUUGGUAAAAGCCCCUGCAAAAUAGACAUCAGCAGACAGAAACUGGCACUGGGUGCAUGAUACGUCUCAAAGUAUCUAUAAUUUUUGAUGGUUUCAUGAUGUUAUCUUGUCAUCUUUGGAUGUUUUAUGUACCUUUUAUAUCUUUCUUGGGACUAACUUAUUAAUUCAGUGCCAAGUGCCAGUUCCUGUUUUUUCUGUGUUUUUGGCUCUUUUCAGAUCUGAUUUUGGAACGGAGUCCAAACGGAAUAAAAUCCCCGAAAUAAAUUUUUCCCGAACGGAAGAAGAUCAGGGGUCUUGAGGACCAAGCCAGGAGGGCUACAGGGGGCCCACAAGCCCCCCAUCCGCCACCAGGGGGGCGGUGGAUGGCAGGCUUGUGGCCUCCCUGGCGCCCCCUAACCUAGAUCCUUCGCCUAUAUAUUCCCUAAAAUACAGAAAAAAAAUUCAGGGGAUCCACGAAAAUACUUUUCCGCCGCCGCAAGCUUCCGUUUCUGCGAGAUCUCAUCUGGAGACCCUUCCCGGUGCCCUGCCGGAGGGGACUUUGGAGUUGGAGGACUUCUACAUCAACAUCAUCGCCCCUCCAAUGACUCGUGAGUAGUUCACUUCAGACCUACGGGUCCGUAGUUAGUAGCUAGAUGGCUUCUUCUCUCUCUUGGAUCUUCAAUACAAAGUUCUCCAUGAUCUUCAUGGAGAUCUAUCCGAUGUAAUCCUCUUUGGCGGUGUGUUUGUCGAGAUCCGAUGAAUUGUGGAUUUGUGAUCAGAUUAUCUAUGAUAUAUAUUUGAGUCUUUGCUUAUUUUUUAUAUGCAUGAUUUGAUAUCCUUGUAAGUCUCUCCGAGUCUUGGGUUUUGCUUGGCCAACUAGAUUUAUGAUUCUUGCAAUGGGAGAAGUGCUUGGUUUUGGGCUCUUACCGUGUGGUGACCUUUCCCGGUGACACUAGGGGCAGCAAGGCACACAUCGUGUAGUUUCCAUCAAGGGUAACAAGGUGGGCUUUGUCGUAGAUAUGAGAUUGUCCAUCUACAUCAUGUCAUCUUGCUUAAGGGGUUACUCUGUUCUUUUGGACUUAAUACACUAGAUGCAUGCUGGAUAGCGGUCGACGUGUGGAGUAAUAGUAGUAGAUGCAGAAAGUAUCGGUCUACUUGUUUUGGACGUGAUGCCUAUAGAUAUAAUCAUUGCCAUAGAUGACGUCACGACUUUGCGCGGUUCUAUCAAUUGCUCGAUAGUAAUUUGUUCACCCACCGUCUACUUGCUUUCAUGAGAGAAGCCACUAGUAAACACUACGGCCCCCGGGUCUAUUCACAUCUAUCGUUUCCACUUUUGCUUUUACUUUGCUUUGUUACUUUGUUGCUUUCAGUUCUCACUUGGCGAACAAUCUAUAAGGGAUUGACAACCCCUUCAUAGCGUUGGGAGCAAGCUUUUUGUGUUUAUGCAGGCACUUGUGAUACUCCUUCACUCGAUCGAUACCUUGGUUCUCAAACUGAGGAAAAUACUUACCACCGCUGUGCUACAUCACCCUUCCGCUUUGAGGGAACACUAAUGCAAGGCUCCAAGACCACGGGGGAAAUCCUUUGCAUAUUUGCCUAGGAAGUCUCUUAAGGCGUAGCCGUAGCAGAAGGAUUCCUGGUGCCGUUGCUGAGGAGUAUCAAGACAAGAACAGUCUCCCGUCAACACUCCUAUUUCUGGCGCCGUUGGAAGGUCUUUUGUUGCAGUAGCAGUGCACUGAGUUAGUAGGUUAGUCAAAAUAUGUGUAAAAUGAUAUAAAAGUGUAGCAAAACAUAUAACAAUGUCACCCAAAAGAUCAUGGAACAAGAAGAAAUUAUAAAUACGUUUGGGACGUAUCAACAUCCCCAAGCUUAAUUUCUGCUCGUCCUCGAGUAUAUAAAUGAUAACACAAUAAUUUCUGUGGUGACAUGCUAACACACAUAUAAGAACUUCAAAGUAAAGCAAGUGAGAUAUGCAAUUCAAGUCAAGACAAUAACAAGCAAGAGUCUAUAUCUAGUAUUGAAUUUAGCAAAGUAAGAACAUAAAGGUGCAAGAGUUCUCGCUGUGCGUGACUCGAAUGUCUCCAAAUGGUGUUUGCGUGCAAGAAGUGGGAGAUGGGUUGAGAUCAUAAAAUAUUUUUUAAUUGAGAACUCAAUCUACUAAACCUCACACUUAGUCUCCUUCGGAAUCCUAUUUUGACUCAUCCCCACACCACUAGCCAGGCACAAGUCAAAAUGAUCCUCUCCCUUUCGACUUUGAGCACUCAUGCAAUGGAUGAGCGUAAGCAAGAUAUGUUGGCACUUAGGAUAGAAUAAUGAUGGGGAAGGAAGACAAAAAAGAGUGAAAGGCUCACAUCAAUGAGGACAACCAUAGGCGAGAGAAAGCCAAAUGAUAGGUAUGAUGUGAGGAGUCGGGAUUGCCAUGUAAGAGAUGCACAUAUGAGCUAAGGUAAGCUCUCCAAUGGAACUAGUGGGGGUGCAUCCAACUUGUUUGCUCAUGAAGACCUAGAGAUCAUUUGAGGAGGCUCAUCAUUGGAAUAUGCAAACCAAGUUCUAUAGUGUAAGGGUCCCCACAUAGUCAUGCGUGAAUGAUAAUCUCUAUGUAGUACCAAUAUAGCAAUGGAGUACGAGUGUGGAUCUUUCAAAAGGAAUAGUAGGGAUGCCCCGUUCUCUCUUUUUUUAUUUGUGGCCUCUUUGGCUCUUUAUUUUUAUCUCUCAUUUGUCCUCUUUGGGAUCUUUUGUUUUUUCCACUUUGGGAUCUUUUCCUCACUUAAGGGCAACGCUCUAUGUUUUACACGAAUAAAAAGAAAAAUCAUCACACUUUAUAAGAAUUACUCAACAUAAAGACAAGUGAAAACUAUCAUGAUGUAUGCAAAUGUAUGCCUCUGCCAGUGUAGCAGGAUAUGCAAUGAUACUAGCGCGUCAUGUAGCAAUAAUUUGGGCAAGGACCAACUAUCAUGCGGCUCUAUGAUCAAGCAAAAGCAUGUAUGACAUGAAGAUCAAGUCAUGAGAUGGUGGAUGUUGCAUGGCAAUGUAUCUCGGAAAGGCUAUGAAAAUGCCUUAAUAGGUAGGUAUGGUGGCUAUUUUGAGGAAAGAUAUAAUGAGGCUUAUGUAUGACAGAGUGUAUCAUGUCAUGGGUUUGGAUGCACCGGCGGAGUUUGCACCAACUCUCAAUGUGAGAAAGGGCAAUGCACGGUACCGAAGAGGCUAGCAAAAUAUGGAUGGUGGAAGUGCCAACAAUCGAAUACUAAAAUUAGUCUCAAGAACUCAUACACUUAUUAUCGGUAACUCUCCAUCUAGUUAGGAAAUUCACAGAGAGACAAGUACCCCGAGGAGGAGUGUUUGGGGGUUUGGUUAUCAUUGCGCAUCCUCGACUCAUGGUAACGUGAGGGUACUCUAUAUAUUCCAACACCUCGAGAGGUUAGCGAUCAAUUUAGUAGCUAGAGUUCUCAACUAAUUUUAGUUUUUUGAAAAACACACGGAUUUACCAAAAUAAGACACCUAUCACUAAUAGGAUCAAGCUCUUGGCACCAAUAGUCCAAAUAUUAGUCAAAUCAAUACGUCAAAAUUAUUGCAAGUUACUACUAUACUUAAAUAGCAACCUCAAUUACCUACUCAUGCAAGACACACAAUUCAGUGCAACGAGCCAACUAUCUAAACAAGAUAAGCAUGAUAACUCAAAAGAGUUUCAGAAGCAACCUAAAUAAAAUCUCUUAAAAAUAUACACAUGAAAACUAAGAGCUAAACAUGAUAGUAGCUACGAAAAGAUAGAGAACACACAUAAAAGAUAAGCAUGAAAACCUGUGUUGUGUUCUAGAAUGGAAUGGAGCGUGUGUCUCUCCCAGACAAGGUAGGCUAGGUUCCGACUUGUUAUGAAUAGCAAGCAAAACUAAAACAAACUAAAAAGCAAAUAAUGAGACGCUCCAAGCAUAGCACAUAACAUAUGAAGUGAUAAAAAUAUAGCAUGGAGAUGGACGAACUGAUCAUUGUUGAUAGAGAAGGGGAUGUACGGGGGCAUCCCCAAGCUUAGAAGCUUGAGUCUCCUUGAAUAUUUCUUGGGAUGCAUGGGGGCAUACCCAAGCUUGAGCGCUUGACACUCAUGUAUCUUCUUUCAUCAUCUCUCCCAUCGCAUACUUGAAAACUCCCUUCAUACGAAACUCAUCAUAAGCUGAUUAGAGUGGUUGGUUCCCUUAAUAAAAUAAUACAUUACCUGCUGGAAAUAAAGAUUUUCAUGAAAAGCUACUUCUUAUCAUGAUUGCCAAAAGGUUUUUGCAAAUAAAAAGUAAGCUUAGGAUUUGCAAAACAAUGAAAACGCAAAACAUUGCAGAAUCUGUGAAAACAGAACAACAGGCAGUAAAUAAUUUAUUCGGGGUACUUCUGUAACUCAAAUCAAAAACCUCAGAACAUAUGUCAUAAAGGAAAUUAUAUAGAUCAUUAUGUCAAAAAAUGAAGAUCAAAAAUAUGAUCUGGUUAUUUAUGACGAAUUGUUCCGUCAAGCAGAUAGAAUCUGUUUCUGGACAACAUGUCAUAACUUUUGAUUUUUCUUGCAAUCGGAGGCUAUAACUUGGCACAAAGCUUAAAAAUAAAGAUACAGUGAUGUUGCUACAGUAGUAACAAGAAUCAAGACCACUAAAACAGAAAGUAAAAAAAUUGGGUUGCCUCCCAACAAGCGUUUUUUAUGCCUUUGAGCUAGGCAUAAUGCAAGAAGAUCAAGUGUUAUCAACUCCAAAAGAAUAACUUGCUCGAGUAACGGACUCAUAAGGUAACUUAAUAUUAUUUCUAGGGAAGUGUUCCAUUACCUUUUUAAGAGUAAAUUAGAAUUUAAUAAAUCCCUCUUUCAUGUCAAUGAUAGCACCAACGGUGCGGAGAUAAGGACGUCCCAAAAUAAUUGGACAUGAAGGAUCACAUUCAAUGUCCAUAAUAAGAAAAUCAACGGACACAUAAUUAUCAUUGACAAUAAUAAUAACAUCAUCAAUUCUCCCUGAAGGUUUCUUUAUGCAGUGCUCUGCGUAAACCCAUACUUCCACCGGACGGAGUCUGAUGUGCCUCGUGUUCGUCCAGUGUGUUCAGGAUUCCCGAGGGCCUUUCAUAGCUCAUCCUUCUAUUUGUCGGGAUGGAACCUCCCUUCUCGCACUUCCUUGAUUCCUUCGCUAAUCUUUAAUACGGGUGUUUCAAGUUGAUCUUUCAUGAAAACACACUUCCCUAUUUUUUGUUUCAAAGCUCCCAUGCCCGAAGAACCAAGUCCUUGACUGAUCGGGGCGGCGACCGCGACAAGUAGAGCACCCAGCAGAGGAGCUCACUCGAGGUGGCGAGCGAUUGAGACGGAGGGUCGACCAACGAUGAGGGGAGCACACGCGGACAUCAACGUCAGGGCAGGGCGCGGCGACGGCGACGUCGGGGCAGUCCGUGGCGGCGACGUCGAGGUAGGUCGGAUCCAGCGAGGGGUGUGGGGGACGGCGUUGGGGCAGGGCUCGGGGAGGCGACAACGAGGUCUCGCAGCCUGGCGGUGUCGAGGUGGUCGUCGGCACCGUCGGGGGAGAGGAGGAGAUCGAAGAAAGCUGAUGGAUUUGGAAAAUUUGCCAAGUGCCGCUUAUAUACCCCACCCUUUGGUCCUGGUUGGUGACUGCAACCGGGACUAAAGGCCCCCCUUUACUCCCAGUUGCAGCCAUCAGCCGAGACUUUUCAGCAGCGCAAAGGGCGGGAACCGCAUGCCUUUAGUCCGGGUUGAUGCCACCAACCGGGACUAAACGCGUGCGAGUGCCACGGCGUCGGGCGGUGAUGUUUAGUCCCACCUCGCUAGCUAAGAGGUGUCGAGAGUGGUUUAUAAGCGCGGCUGCGCCAACCUUCUCGAGCUCCUCUCUUAUGCAGGCCUACGGGCCUAAACACACUCUCUCUGCAUGUGGGCCUAGUGCGGGCAUGCAUCGUGGCUCAACUAGCGUGUAGGAUUUCUAGUCGUAUGCACGCCUUGGUGGCCCAUUAAGCAACAUUUGUUUUUAUUUUAGUUUGCUAUUCAAUAUUUUAGCAAAAAAACUUUAUGAAAAUUCUUUUUAGUUGAUAUUUUGUUUUGAUUAUUUUUAGUUCAUUCAUUUUAGUUAAUGUUUCACUUGAUUCUUUUGAGUUCAUUCUUUUUAGUUGAUUCUUUUUAGUUGAUUCUUUUUAACAAAUAAAUACUUUGAUAAUUUUAGUUAAUAUUUUAGUUGAUUAUUUUUAGUUUAUUCUUUUUAGUUCAUUCUUUUUAGAUAAUAUUUUAGUUGAUUCUUUUUAGUUCAUUCAUUUUAGUUGAUUCUUCUCAGUUCAUUCUUUUUAACAAAUAAAUACUUUGAUAAUUUUAGUUAAUAUUUUUUGGUUUCUUUUUAGUUCAUUCUUUUUAACAAAUCAAUACUUUGAUAAUUUUAGUUAAUACUAUUUUGAUUCUUUUUAGUUCAUUCUUUUUGCGAGCUCCGAUGCUGAGUCAUCAUCGUCACAAAUCUCGGAGGAGCUAGUGCGAUGCCAACCUCGAUCCACCUAACCCUGCAGCUCUGCCAGGUGGCCACAAAGACGGCCACCUCGUGCUUCAUCUUUGACGACAUGCUCUCCCUGUUAGGUGUUGCCUCCUUUAAAUAGUGGAUGCCGGUGAUGGCAAGCAUCCGCGUGCGUUAAUGCGCGGGCGCCGGAGUUUGUUUCUCAGCCGGUGAGCAUGUAUAAUGGUGGCACACGGAGGGACGGGCAUGGUAGAUAUCCGUCCCUCCCCGUUUAGUAAAUGCCGUCUCUCUGAAAUUGAACAAGCUCGAACAUCAGGGACGCAGCAAGGGGUGCGCCCUCGGCCGGCGAGCUGCUUCACUGCUGAUGCUAGCGAGAGGCCACGUCCUCUUUGGGCCGACAUCAAUGAAGAAGGCCACUUUAGAAUUUUCGGUCCUCCCACCACCCAUAUAAUCACCAAUGCUAGUGCAUCUGGACGUAACCGACAUGGAUGAACAUGUCAGCGAAACAAUGCUGCAUACACUAAUUUUGUAUACACUAAUUUUGAAAUUGAUAUAUAGAGGUCGGGAGUGAUCCUCCUUUUCAGAAAAGAUGCUGAAAAAUAGGCCUUUGUUGUUGAGGAAGAAAAGAUUUGAUGAGGUGCCAUCCUUAUGCAUCAGUAAAAUUUGCUCAACAUCCAUAGUACAUAUUGUACCCGAAACAUGAUCAAUUGGAAUCCAUAUAGUUAAGUCUACAUACGAUGCUCUCACGAAAUGUACAUGUGGUUUGUUGGUGAAAACUUUAAUAUGCAUCGACUGCAGAAAAAUUUACCCACAACGAACACAACAAACAUCUCAUCACCUCGAAACACGAGCGGUUGCGUGAACAUGGUAAAAAAGUACCAUACUAUCAAUAACUUGUGUGCAUGAACAAGCAAAGAUGACCAUCAAAGGAACAAAUAUGUGAACUAAUUGAGAGGAAUUCAUAUAUUUUUUACGUACGUUGUAAUGCUAUCGACCACAAUGUUGUCGGCCGCCACUAGCAUGUCAUAUUUGGGAGCCCAACCACAUUCCACAUCAUCCCUUAUAAAUAUGAAAACAUGGCACUUAUUUAUUUUCCUUUUAUCAACUCCAACUACCAUCUGCCUAGUGCGGAUCUACCAACUAGGAAACUGUGCCAUUUAGUGGUGUUGUUGGCAAAGCAUUAUUCUUUCUUACGUCUAAUAUAGUAGAUACACAUUAUUUUCAACCUACUAAACCAAACAUGACCUAUAACCAUGUACUUGUUCCUGCAACAUAUAAUGGAUACAUUAUUGUAUAUGGAACCAAGAGAUUAGUCACUGUCUCUUCAAUUUUGUUAACAGUAGUUCAUCACAAAUUUUUGCUAGUACUAAUAAUUUCUCUCAUUAGAUUCGUAUGCAUUUUGAACCGAGACCAUACAAGAAUCAACCAACAUAAUUAAGCCUAAGAAAUCAAAAUUGCCAAUAUAUAUUUGCAACAAAAAGGGACGAAAAGAACAUUGAAGAGAGUUUUUGGUUGAGUACAUAGAGUUUGCACCACCAUCCUUAGGGCAUCUCCAAUGCUGACCCGCAAACUAGUCACUCCAUCCGUCCAUGGACAGGAGGACCAGUCCAUGGACUCGGAUACGGGAGGUCGUCAUCCAAUGCUAUCCACAUACAUUUCAAAACAGGUUUAAACAAACCAGNNNNNNNNNNNNNNNNNNNNNNNNNNNNNNNNNNNNNNNNNNNNNNNNNNNNNNNNNNNNNNNNNNNNNNNNNNNNNNNNNNNNNNNNNNNNNNNNNNNNUUCCCCCCUUGCCGGCAUCUUUGGAGUGGCUCCCGCCUUUGUGUUUCCUUCUUCUUUGCAAAUGGUCCCCCAGCGGUAGUACCGCUGGCCCUAGCGGUAGUACCGCUAGCCCUAGCGGUAGUACUGCUGGAGUGCUAGCGGUAGUACCGCUGCAGCCAGCGGUAGUACCGCUAGCCCUAGCGGUAGUACUGCUGGAGUGCUAGCGGUAGUACCGCUGCAGCCAGCGAUAGUACCGCUAGCUGGCGGUAGUACCGCCCCUGGUCAGCGGUGGUACCGCUCUAGGAGCUUAGUACCGCCUGCCUAGCGAUCGUGGACGGACCUUUUUGCGAAAACUUUCUUGGCGGUGGUAGUGCUUAUGCACUACCACGGGCCCAGCGGUAGUACCAGCCAGCGGUAGUACCGCUGCAUCCAGCGGUAGUACCGCUAGACUCGGGCUGUGAGUGGGAAAACGGUUGGAUUCCCCCCCCCACUAUAUAAAGGGUUCUUCUAGCUGUGGAACCCUAUCUCUUACCCUCUCAAGCUCCAUUGUUGCUCCCUAAGCUCAAAAGUGCCCGAUCUCUCUCCCUAGCCAAUCAAACUUGUUGAUNNNNNNNNNNNNNNNNNNNNNNNNNNNNNNNNNNNNNNNNNNNNNNNNNNNNNNNNNNNNNNNNNNNNNNNNNNNNNNNNNNNNNNNNNNNNNNNNNNNNGAGUAGUUCGUCGUGUAAAGCAACCCAAAGUAAAAUAGAGUGAAGUUCAAGUGGACAUGGCGAGAAGGUCCAAUUCUUCACGCGGUGCAUUUUUGAAGGCUUUGUUUCGCGAUAAAGUCAGAAAGCAUGAUAUUGUUGUUUUCGCGAUUGCUUGAAAACGGCUAGGAAUCAGAGAAAACCAUCUACAUAAAAAAGGUUCACAUUUUUCGUAGCUUUCGAAUGAUAUAUUAUUUUCUCCAUUUCAAUAAAGUUUGUAAAUAUUACGGCCAAAAAAAAUUAGCCAUUUUUAAAACUGACAUAAAAUCGUAAGGAAUUGGAAAAAACAAUCUACAUAUAAAAGUUUCGCAUUUUUUCAAGAUCUCCAACGCCAUAUCAUUUGCUCCAUUCUGAGAAACCGUUGAGAAAUUAAAGCAAAAAUACAAACUUGGUACAACUUCUGCUGAUUUCUAAUUACUUUUAAACCAUUAAUAGUUGGAAGAAACUUGUUAUAUGAAAAACAACGCAUUUUCAUAAGCUUUCAAACGCCGUAUCACUUGCGUCGAUCGGACUAGCUGNUUUUUAAAUUAACCCUAAAAUAGGAAGCCAGUUGUUCGAUUUCAGAAAUUCCGACAUUUUUGAAAUUCCUCUUUAACCGUAUGGAAUUCGAAAAGACAUUCAACAUAUGAAAUGAGGGGAUUUACAACAGCUAUUNNNNNNNNNNNNNNNNNNNNNNNNNNNNNNNNNNNNNNNNNNNNNNNNNNNNNNNNNNNNNNNNNNNNNNNNNNNNNNNNNNNNNNNNNNNNNNNNNNNNUGUAUCCCGAAGUUCACACCCUUGCGGAUGCUAAUCUUCGUUAGAGCGGUGUGGAGGCACAAUGCUCCCCAAGAUGCCACUAAGGCCACCGUAAUCUCCUCACGCCCUCGCACAAUGCAAGAUGCCGUGAUUCCACUAAGGGACCCUUGAGGGCGGUCACUGAACUCGUACAAAUGGCAAACCUUGGGGGCGGUCACCGAACCCGUACACGUGGCAACCCUUGGGGCGGUUACCGCUACCCGUACAAAUUGCUCGGGGCUAUCUCCACAACCUAAUUGGAGGCCCCGACGCUUGCCCGGAGCUUCACACCACAAUGAUUGAGCUCCGAGUCACCACCAAGCUUCUAGGAUGCCAAAGUAUCCACGAAGAACAAUAUGUAGGGUACUAAGUACCAAAGGUAGUAAGCUUCUCAACUUCUCACUUCCACGUAUCACCGUGGAGAACUCAAACCGAUGCAACUAAUGCAAUGGCAAGAACACACGAAGUGGUCAAGUCCCUCAAACUCAAAUCCCUCCACAACAACAAAAGCUAUGGAGAAAUAUGAGAGAAAGAACAAGGAGCUCACAAAGAACUCCAAGAUCUAGAUCCAAGGGGUUCCCCUCACAUAGAGGAGAAAGUGAUUGGUGGAGAUGUGGAUCUAGAUCUCCUCUCUCUUUUCCCUCAAGAACAAGCAAGAAUCAUUGGAGGGAUUGAGAGUUAGCAAGCUCUAAGAAUGUCAACAAUGGAGGUAGAACAAGAGCUCAACAGAUGGAUAAAACCAAGNNNNNNNNNNNNNNNNNNNNNNNNNNNNNNNNNNNNNNNNNNNNNNNNNNNNNNNNNNNNNNNNNNNNNNNNNNNNNNNNNNNNNNNNNNNNNNNNNNNNGAAGAACCACCUUACCAUUUUAUAUAACAGGCAGAGGGGGAGCAGCAGCAGGUGGUGUCCCAUAGAACUUGUUCAAUCAGCGAACAUGGAAGGCAUCAUUAAUCCGAGCUCCAGCCGGAAGGUCCAAUCUGUAUGCCACAAAUCUAAUGUAUUCAAGGACUUUGUACGGACCAUAGAACCUAGCGGCAAGCUUGCCAUAAGUCUGUCCUAGAACUGAUGUUAUUGGCCAUCGAUGUAGGCAUCAUGAUGGCAUCGAUGACGAAGAGGCUUAGCAAAGUCGGCGAGUUAGUUUCUGCUUUAAAGAUUGAUUGGUGAAGGACGACAGCGACGACACAAGUAAGUGCGUCGGACCGGUUUGUAUCCAGUAUGUGUCUUUGUUGAGUCAUUUGACUUUACAUGUUAGGCUUUGGUGUGAUGUUUAUUUGAUAUUAGGCUCGGACUAUCGGCACCCCUUCAUUAAAUGGAUAGGAGUAGCGACAUNAUAUUUCUAAAAUGAUGGCUUCAGACUAUCUAAUGUACUAUUUUGUAAUGUAUUUAUGAAUAAUUAAUAAAGUGACUAUAUGCAUCGCCUAGAUGCAUAGGCCGAGGAUAAUCCUCCUUUUUAAAAAAUACAUGUUUUUAGUUUUUUCCAAUUAUACCACACAACUUAAAAGUAUAUACCAACAAAAAAUUCCAUGUAAGCUUCUUCUCCGUGUGUAGCAUAAAUAUGCCUUCUCUAUUCUUAUUUCAAGAAUGUCUACAAGGUGAAAAAUAUAUUAUUAUCUUUNNNNNNNNNNNNNNNNNNNNNNNNNNNNNNNNNNNNNNNNNNNNNNNNNNNNNNNNNNNNNNNNNNNNNNNNNNNNNNNNNNNNNNNNNNNNNNNNNNNNAGAUUAAAAUGAAGAAGUUCGAAUGAAAAAGCUGAGAAGAUCAAAUUAAACUAGUGAAAUUCCUUACAUGCAAAACGGACCAGUUUUAUUUUCCAUGUUUAUAAAGUAAAUACAUAGAAGUUCAAAAUAGAAAAAUUGAGAAUGUUAAAAUAAAAUAAUGGAGUAGUUCGUCGUGUAAAGCAACCCAAAGUAAAAUAGAGUGAAGUUCAAGUGGACAUGGCGAGAAGGUCGAAUUCUUCACGCGGUGCAUUUUUGAAGGCUUUGUUUCGCGAUAAAGUCAGAAAGCAUGAUAUCGUUGUUUUCGAGAUUGCUUGAAAACGGCUAGGAAUCAGAGAAAACCAUCUACAUAAAAAAGGUUCACAUUUUUCGUAGCUUUCGAAUGAUAUAUUAUUUUCUCCAUUUCAAUAAAGUUUGUAAAUAUUACGGCCAAAAAAAUUUAGCCAUUUUUAAAACUGACAUAAAAUCGUAAGGAAUUGGAAAAAACAAUCUACAUAUAAAAGUUUCGCAUUUUUUCAAGAUCUCCNAACGCCAUAUCAUUUGCUCCAUUCUGAGAAACGUUGAGAAAUUAAAGCAAAAAUACAAACUUGGUACAACUUCUGCUGAUUUCUAAUUACUUCUAAACCAUUAAUAGUUGGAAGAAACUUGUUAUAUGAAAAACUGCGCAUUUUCAUAAGCUUUCAAACGUCGUAUCACUUGCGUAGAUCGGACUAGCUGUUUUUAAAUUAACCCUAAAAUAGGAAGCCAGUUGUUCGAUUUCAGAAAUUCCGACANNNNNNNNNNNNNNNNNNNNNNNNNNNNNNNNNNNNNNNNNNNNNNNNNNNNNNNNNNNNNNNNNNNNNNNNNNNNNNNNNNNNNNNNNNNNNNNNNNNNCACGAAAUUGAACAGCUUUAGCUAGAGUUUUUAGUGUGUUCAAAAGACGCUCUUAACCCAUUAUGAUUUUAUAAAAUAAAAUGCUUGUCAAUAGUUUUUUAUUGAUUUCAUUUGCUAAAAUUUGAUGAGUGCUUAAAGAGUUAGGGGCAAAAGAAAUUACAGAUCAGUUCAAAUUGAAACAACCGGAAGUCCACGUACUACAUGGUGUGUGUUUUCAUAUGAGAAAAAGGAAUAAAAAUAGUAUAAAAAGUUUGUUGCUAGAAGGUCAAGUGCUAUGCCUGGGGAAGUUCAAAAAUUCUUAUGAGAGAGGUUCACCUUAUGCUUUUCGUUGGUAUAUCAUUUGCUCAAUUCCGGUUCAUGGAUGGAGUGUAACGAGCAAAAAACAACACGUGGAAAGUAGAGUAAGUUCAAGUGAACAUGGGGAGAAGGUCAAGUUCUUCACACGGUGCAUUUUUUUAUAACACAUCCGCUUUAUAAAUCAUCUAGACAUAAUGUCCAUACAAAUAGUUUGCCGGAUGCAUUCCGGAGACACACCAUGCCAAACACGGCACCCUAGCUGAUUACAAGAGCGAGNNNNNNNNNNNNNNNNNNNNNNNNNNNNNNNNNNNNNNNNNNNNNNNNNNNNNNNNNNNNNNNNNNNNNNNNNNNNNNNNNNNNNNNNNNNNNNNNNNNNNNNNNNNNNNNNNNNNNNNNGGGGGGGAACCAUGUAAAAAUUCACGUGAGAAGCUCAACAUUGGAAAACACACGAAAUUCAAAUGAAAACAAAAUGGAGAAAGUAUCAUGACACAAAAAAANNNNNNNNNNNNNNNNNNNNNNNNNNNNNNNNNNNNNNNNNNNNNNNNNNNNNNNNNNNNNNNNNNNNNNNNNNNNNNNNNNNNNNNNNNNNNNNNNNNNUACUAUUUGAUUGACGCGACACCUUGAAGCUAGUUUGCAUAUGACAAAUAACAAAACAUAAUAGUGUGUCGCAGGUAUAUUACACAUUGGCUCAUGAUUCCUGAGCGGAGGGGUGAGGAUCUUCUGGUCGGUUGCUCGACUCAUAUCACUAGCUAGCUCAAUGGCGUCAGAUUCUUGCGGACACAAACAAAUACUAAUGGAUAGAUACAGAAUGCUCCAACACGGUGCCUGGUUUAUAGCCACUACGUCUCGCCUUCACUAGGAAGGGUGGUUUUAGCCACACAUGCCUUUUCCACCUAGGAAGGGUGCCUCUAGGAUCACUCCAUGCGAUGCCUUCGCCCGAGCAGUCCCCAUGGAAUGAAAUUGGUAGUUCUUGGCUUGUUGCAUCAUUUGGUUAGCACAUAUGUUGGUUUGCUAGGAAUUAAGGGUAUUUGAUUAGCUUACUCUCAACCUUUGUGAAUUGUGAUGGACCUUUAUGCGGGUAUUUUGAUUUGAAUGAUUUCUGCAGGGAUUUUGUUGAGUUAGAAUAUCUAGUAUUCCCCGGGUCCAUAAUCUACUAUAGUUUGGAUAUUGCCACAAUCUCCAUUAUGUAUCGUUAACCUUUAUCUUGAAAAAAGCAUGGAAUUUAUAUUAUAAAUAAAAGGGAAAUUCAAUUUUUCAUAUAUCUGUACCCAAAAUUAGAAAAUGUUGAAUACAAGCCUUUCUAGGAAGUCAUGCGUUUAUGAAAACUAUAUUUUGUGUGUAAGAUUUUGAUUGUAGGGUUGUCAAUUUUAUCCAAAGAACCCAUUGUACCAUGCCCCAUAAAAGUUUCCCAUUAACUUAUACCUCUUAGGGGGGNNNNNNNNNNNNNNNNNNNNNNNNNNNNNNNNNNNNNNNNNNNNNNNNNNNNNNNNNNNNNNNNNNNNNNNNNNNNNNNNNNNNNNNNNNNNNNNNNNNNUACUAUUUGAUUGACGCGACACCUUGAAGCUAGUUUGCAUAUGACAAAUAACAAAACAUAAUAGUGUGUCACAGGUAUAUUACACAUUGGCUCAUGAUUCCUGAGCGGAGGGGUGAGGAUCUUCUGGUCGGUUGCUCGAUCACAGGUCGCCGCCGCCUCACCUCGCGUCCCCCCGCCUUUUGCCAUUCCACGACUCAUAUCACUAGCUAGCUCAAUGGCGUCAGAUUCUUGCGGACACAAACAAAUACUAAUGGAUAGAUACAGAAUGCUCCAACACGGUGCCUGGUUUAUAGCCACUACGUCUCGCCUUCACUAGGAAGGGUGGUUUUAGCCACACAUGCCUUUUCCACCUAGGAAGGGUGCCUCUAGGAUCACUCCAUGCGAUGCCUUCGCCCGAGCAGUCCCCAUGGAAUGAAAUUGGUAGUUCUUGGCUUGUUGCAUCAUUUGGUUAGCACAUAUGUUGGUUUGCUAGGAAUUAAGGGUAUUUGAUUAGCUUACUCUCAACCUUUGUGAAUUGUGAUGGACCUUUAUGCGGGUAUUUUGAUUUGAAUGAUUUCUGCAGGGAUUUUGUUGAGUUAGAAUAUCUAGUAUUCCCCGGGUCCAUAAUCUACUAUAGUUUGGAUAUUGCCACAAUCUCCAUUAUGUAUCGUUAACCUUUAUCUUGAAAAAAGCAUGGAAUUUAUAUUAUAAAUAAAAGGGAAAUUCAAUUUUUCAUAUAUCUGUACCCAAAAUUAGAAAAUGUUGAAUACAAGC